CGCAAUCACUUGUUCUUUAAAUGAGGACUAGUAUGAAUGGCAUCACGAGGGUUAUACUGUCUCCCCCUUUUAAUCAGUGAAACUGAUCUUCCCGUGAAGAAGCGGGAAUAUAUCUAUAAGACGAGAAGACCCCAUGGAGCUUAAAACUCAGUAUCAGCUGCCCUCUAAUAUAUCCUCUUAAUUAGGCAGACUUGACUACUAGUUUUCGGUUGGGGUGACCGCGGAGCAAAACAAAACCUCCACGAUGAAAGGAACUAACUUCCUAAUCAAAGAACCACAUUUCUAUGAAUCAACAAAUUGACAUUUAUUGAUCCAAUUUUUUUGAUCAACGAACCAAGUUACCCUGGGGAUAACAGCGCAAUCCAUUUCAAGAGCCCCUAUCGACAAAUGGGUUUACGACCUCGAUGUUGGAUCAGGGUAUCCCAGUGGUGCAGCCGCUACUAAAGGUUCGUUUGUUCAACGAUUAAAACCCU
RNAcentral lists this ribosomal RNA (473 nucleotides) under Scaphiophryne gottlebei. RNAcentral describes it as "partial 16S ribosomal RNA". It matches the Rfam family "Bacterial large subunit ribosomal RNA", at positions 1960 to 2597 of the family's 2925-position model. Lineage: Eukaryota; Metazoa; Chordata; Amphibia; Anura; Microhylidae. The record is from RNAcentral.